UGGAAAGAUGAAUCAAAGAAGGUAAUAAUCCUGUAGUCGAAAAUGUUGUCUCUCUUGAGUGGAUCCUGAGUACGACGGAGCACGUGAAAUUCCGUCGGAAUCUGGGAGGACCAUCUCCUAAGGCUAAAUACUCUCUAGUGACCGAUAGUGAACCAGUACCGUGAGGGAAAGGUGAAAAGCACCCCGGAAGGGGAGUGAAAUAGAACCUGAAACCGUGUGCUUACAAGUAGUCAGAGCCCGUUAAUGGGUGAUGGCGUGCCUUUUGUAGAAUGAACCGGCGAGUUACGAUUUGAUGCAAGGUUAAGCAGUAAAUGUGGAGCCGUAGCGAAAGCGAGUCUGAAUAGGGCGUUUAGUAUUUGGUCGUAGACCCGAAACCAGGUGAUCUACCCUUGGUCAGGUUGAAGUUCAGGUAACACUGAAUGGAGGACCGAACCGACUUACGUUGAAAAGUGAGCGGAUGAACUGAGGGUAGCGGAGAAAUUCCAAUCGAACCUGGAGAUAGCUGGUUCUCUCCGAAAUAGCUUUAGGGCUAGCCUCAAGUGAUGAUUAUUGGAGGUAGAGCACUGUUUGGACGAGGGGCCCCUCUCGGGUUACCGAAUUCAGACAAACUCCGAAUGCCAAUUAAUUUAACUUGGGAGUCAGAACAUGGGUGAUAAGGUCCGUGUUCGAAAGGGAAACAGCCCAGACCACCAGCUAAGGUCCCAAAAUAUAUGUUAAGUGGAAAAGGAUGUGGCGUUGCCCAGACAACUAGGAUGUUGGCUUAGAAGCAGCCAUCAUUUAAAGAGUGCGUAAUAGCUCACUAGUCGAGUGACACUGCGCCGAAAAUGUACCGGGGCUAAACAUAUUACCGAAGCUGUGGAUUGUCCUUUGGACAAUGGUAGGAGAGCGUUCUAAGGGCGUUGAAGCAUGAUCGUAAGGACAUGUGGAGCGCUUAGAAGUGAGAAUGCCGGUGUGAGUAGCGAAAGACGGGUGAGAAUCCCGUCCACCGAUUGAC
RNAcentral lists this ribosomal RNA (994 nucleotides) under Staphylococcus aureus. RNAcentral describes it as "partial 23S ribosomal RNA". It matches the Rfam family "Bacterial large subunit ribosomal RNA", at positions 343 to 1345 of the family's 2925-position model. Lineage: Bacteria; Bacillati; Bacillota; Bacilli; Caryophanales; Staphylococcaceae. The record is from RNAcentral.